This 497-nucleotide ribosomal RNA is filed under the name uncultured bacterium. RNAcentral's name for it is "partial 16S ribosomal RNA". It matches the Rfam family "Bacterial small subunit ribosomal RNA", at positions 28 to 507 of the family's 1533-position model. The record is from RNAcentral.
GACGAACGCUGGCGGCGUGCCUAAUACAUGCAAGUUGAGCGCUGAAGGUUGGUACUUGUACCAACUGGAUGAGCAGCGAACGGGUGAGUAACGCGUGGGGAAUCUGCCUUUGAGCGGGGGACAACAUUUGGAAACGAAUGCUAAUACCGCAUAAAAACUUUAAACACAAGUUUUAAGUUUGAAAGAUGCAAUUGCAUCACUCAAAGAUGAUCCCGCGUUGUAUUAGCUAGUUGGUGAGGUAAAGGCUCACCAAGGCGAUGAUACAUAGCCGACCUGAGAGGGUGAUCGGCCACAUUGGGACUGAGACACGGCCCAAACUCCUACGGGAGGCAGCAGUAGGGAAUCUUCGGCAAGGGACGAAAGUCUGACCGAGCAACGCCGCGUGAGUGAAGAAGGUUGUCGGAUCGUAAAACUCUGUUGGUAGAGAAGAACGUUGGUGAGAGUGGAAAGCUCAUCAAGUGACGGUAACUACACAGAAAGGGACGGCUAACUACGUG